Molecule: ribosomal RNA, 253 nt
Filed under: uncultured bacterium
Lineage: Bacteria
Description: partial 16S ribosomal RNA
Rfam family: Bacterial small subunit ribosomal RNA
Source: RNAcentral
UACGUAGGGGGCAAGCGUUGUCCGGAGUUACUGGGCGUAAAGGGCGCGUAGGCGGCUUACAUAGUUAGGCGUGAAAUUCCUGGGCUCAACCUAGGGACUGCGUCUAAUACAUGUAGGCUUGAGUGUGAAAGAGGGUCGUGGAAUUUCCAGUGUAGAGGUGAAAUUCGUAGAUAUUGGAAAGAACACCGGUGGCGAAGGCGGCGACCUGGUUCAUUACUGACGCUGAGGCGCGAAAGCGUGGGGAGCAAACAGG